GUGCUCGCUACGGCAGCACUUAUACUAAAAUUGGAACGAUACAGAGAAGAUUAGCAUGGCCCCUGCACAAGGAUGAGUACAGUCCAUUUGACCUUAUCCAAACAGUA
Small nuclear RNA from Euleptes europaea (tarantolino), 107 nucleotides. NCBI's taxonomy places the organism in Eukaryota, Metazoa, Chordata, Lepidosauria, Squamata, Sphaerodactylidae. The record is from RefSeq and is a predicted model, not a curated record.